This is a non-coding RNA of Contarinia nasturtii (swede midge), 72 nucleotides long. The record is from the annotation of a RefSeq genome assembly. Lineage: Eukaryota; Metazoa; Arthropoda; Insecta; Diptera; Cecidomyiidae.
GCCUGCGUAGCGUAAAGGCAACGCGUUGGCCUCCUAAGCCAAAGAUUGCGAGUUCGAUUCUCGUCGUAGGCA